CAACCAGCUUUAUUCUUAACGGAGAUUGUCUGGACGCCCCGGAAGAACAUCCUGAGAUGCUCUUUCUUCCUCACUUUUUGAGCUGCAGGAAAGACAGAAAAACGGCUGAAUACCAGCGAGCCAGGUAUUUUUCUGGCCAUUCCCUCUCGCUCCGGUAUGAAGCUGGUUACGAUUCUACCUUAACAAUCUGAAUAUCACUGUCCUCCAUAUCCAUACUGUCUUCAGAUGGAUGAAUACAAGGUACAUAUAUGUGCAUGCAGGUGCCAAUAGAGAACAAAAGGGAUCCCUGGAGCUGGAGUUGUAGGUGAUUGCAAACCGCAGGGCAGGUGCUGGGAACCAAACUCCAGGACUCUGCAAAAGGAGCAAACACUUAACCACCGAGACACGUCCGCGGCCUUGGUCGGUUCACAGCCAUUUUCUGGUUGGUUUCUGAAGCAUUACUAAAUUGUGCAAAGGUAAAUAUAGUCUUAAAAGGUCUGGUUUUGGUUUGUUGCUACGCUUCUUCCAGAUUUAAUUCCACAGAAAAGCCUGUCUCUUUUCUCGGUUUCAUUUCCUCCCUGUGGUAUGAAUUCCUAAGUCUCUAUCAUAAUUACUAAAUUUAACCAACUUCAACCUCAACUUAAUACCCUCGGAAAUACGGCUGUAGGAAUUUAACAUUUAAAAA
Molecule: small RNA, 664 nt
Filed under: Rattus norvegicus (Norway rat)
Lineage: Eukaryota; Metazoa; Chordata; Mammalia; Rodentia; Muridae
Description: uncharacterized LOC108350365
Source: RNAcentral